CUAUACAUGACUCUGCGCAUAUCAAUAAGCGGAGGAAAAGAAACUAACAAGGAUUCCCUUAGUAACGGCGAGUGAAGCGGGAAGAGCUCAAAUUUGAAAUCUUCAAGGUUUUACCUUGACGAAUUGUAGUUUAAAGAAGUGUUUUCUGCUGAAGUUUUGGUAAAAGUUCUUUGGAAUAGGACAUCAUAGAGGGUGAGAAUCCCGUAUUUGACCAUUAUUUUCAGCUUUGUGAUACACUUUCAAAGAGUCGGAUUGUUUGGGAAUGCAGUCCAAAAUGGGUGGUAAAUUUCAUCUAAAGCUAAAUAUUGGCGGAGACCGAUAGCGAACAAGUACCGUGAGGGAAAGAUGAAAAGAACUUUGAAAAGAGAGUUAAACAGUACGUGAAAUUGUCAAAAGGGAAGCGUUUGACACCAGUGUUGUUUUUCUGAAAAUCAAUUAAAGAACUGUUUAUGCUAAGUUGUUUAGACUUUAUCAGCUAACUGUUUAGUUUUGAGCUUUUCUUUAAUGCACUUUUCAGUUAACAAGUCAACAUCAAUUUCUUUUGCUGUAAAAAAGCUUGAGGAAGGUGGCUUGAGAUUCGUCUUAAGUGUUUAUAGCCUCUUGCCUAUGCAGUCGGAGAGAUUGAGGUCUGCAGCGUAGAUCCUUCGGGGCUAAAUGCAUUUGUGCUAAGUUAUAGCAUUUUAUAGACAACUUGUUGACUAUGAUUUGUCUUGUAGCUUACUCGCUUAUGUUAUUUUACCUACGCUUAGGAUGUUGACAGCAGUAUAGACUGU
This 773-nucleotide ribosomal RNA is filed under the name uncultured Neocallimastigales. RNAcentral's name for it is "partial large subunit ribosomal RNA". It matches the Rfam family "Eukaryotic large subunit ribosomal RNA", at positions 22 to 637 of the family's 3401-position model. The record is from RNAcentral. Lineage: Eukaryota; Fungi; Neocallimastigomycota; Neocallimastigomycetes; Neocallimastigales.